This 313-nucleotide ribosomal RNA is filed under the name uncultured Psychrilyobacter sp. RNAcentral describes it as "bacterial SSU rRNA". It matches the Rfam family "Bacterial small subunit ribosomal RNA", at positions 30 to 334 of the family's 1533-position model. Lineage: Bacteria; Fusobacteriati; Fusobacteriota; Fusobacteriia; Fusobacteriales; Fusobacteriaceae. The record is from RNAcentral.
AUUGAACGCUGGCGGCAGGCCUAACACAUGCAAGUCGAGCGGUAACAGGAAUUAGCUUGCUAAUUCGCUGACGAGCGGCGGACGGGUGAGUAAUGCCUGGGAAUAUGCCUUAGUGUGGGGGAUAACUAUUGGAAACGAUAGCUAAUACCGGAUAUUAUGAGACCUUGGCAUCAAGGACUUAUGAAAGCUAUAUGCGCUGGAGGAGAACUUUGCGUUCCAUUAGCUAGUUGGUAGGGUAAUGGCCUACCAAGGCGACGAUGGAUAGCCGGCCUGAGAGGGUGAACGGCCACAAGGGGACUGAGACACGGCCCUU